This is a non-coding RNA of Zonotrichia albicollis (white-throated sparrow), 11954 nucleotides long. The record is from RefSeq and is a predicted model, not a curated record. Lineage: Eukaryota; Metazoa; Chordata; Aves; Passeriformes; Passerellidae.
GUGCCUCACCACCCUCCCAGGAAAGAAGUUUUUCCUAAUAUCUGAUCUAAACCUACUCUCUUUCAGUGUGAAGCCAAUCCCCUUUGUCCUGUAACUAUACUACUGCCCUUGUAAAUAAUCUUGCCUCAUCUUUCUUGUAGGCUCCCUUCAGGCCACUUUUAGACCACUCCAAAGCCUUCUCUUGGCUGAACAAUCCCAAUUCUCUCAGCUUUUUCUCAUAGGAGAGGUGCUCCAUCCCCCUGAUUAACUUGGUGGCCUUCUCUGAACUUGCUCCAACAGGUCAAUGUCCUCCCUUCAAGUGUCAUUCAGGUGUAUUCCUUAACUCCUGACAGAACUGGGAUCAUUAAAAGUGAACAACAGACAGCAGUGCUUGAAUCUCCCUGGUAAAGAAAGUGCAAAGCUUCACUUAGAAGUUCAAUGAGAAAGAGUCAAAGUGGGAUGAUAAGUAUGAAUGAUGAUUCAACUGAUGAUGGAUUGGCCCACACUGUGAAAAUGAAGGGUGUUCAGCCCAGUUACUUAAAAGGCUUGGGUGUUAAGACUGGAGGUCUAGUACAGAACACUCUGCUCUUCAUUGAUCAUAAGUGAUGGAAAGUAAACAUUGUUGCACAGUGGGUGGAUCACAUGAGAGACAGCAAGAUUUGAGCUGCAAAAUUCAUAAAGCAAAAACACAAAACCCCAGAGCUUGGGCUGACAAAAUUGGAAUCCACAGUCUUGUAAAGCUAGUGUGACAGGCAAGCAGAGGAGCAUCAAGACCUCUUUUGCACACUGCAAGUAAAGUCCCAAGCCUGGAAUCUCUCUUGCACAGGGGAGCCCAUGUUAUAUCCUAAAAGGACAAAGACACCUGUUUUGAUAUCUAAUGUACUUGCUAGUGUUUUUCUUGCCCAUCCCUUCCCACUUCCCAGGGAUUCCAAUUCAGUUUGUCAGCAAUCUCAAAACACCCAAGUGAAGAGGAAGGGAAAAGCCUGCCUGGAGUGUGUGCUAACUCCUGAAGGUGUCACCCUGAAGGGGAUGAAAAAUGGAUGAGUGAUAGAGAGAUCUCCUGAGUACACCAGGAGGCAAGAAGGGGAGACAGCAGAGCUUACCAUUUCAUGCAGCUGGGCUGAGUGUUUGGGAAGGCUGCACAGUGAUCACAGGGUACACGAGACAGUGACCCCAAUGAGCAGUACAGCAGUGCCAGUGCAGCUACGGGAGUGACCCAUGGGACUUGGACUUGACUGCAGUCUGCUGAGGACCAGCAGCACAAUAGGAGACUGAUUCUCCAAUUACUGAAGAAUCUGUCCUCAAGAUUUUUGCAACACACAGUGUCACUGUGAAGAACCAAGCACGCUGCAAGCAUCAGGGUCCCUUCCAAGGCAAAGCCAAGGCCCAAAGUCACAUCAAGGACAGUAUGGAGGAGACAGAGGAAGAAAACAUGGUGUUGGAGAAAGCCAGAACUGCAUUAAAGCCAAAAUCUUGGUUUGGCAUCCUGAGAUGGGACCAGCUCUGUAUUCACACCUACAAGCUGUGGACUCUCCUGCUGUCACAGAGCCUUCAGAACUGAUGAAGGUGGUGGAUUUUUUGACUCCAGCCUUGGCUUAGCCUGGCAGGGAACCAGACUGUGGAGAUGCUCUGUCAGGAUACACAUUAGAAACAUGAGUUGAAGACACCAAAAAGCAGAAAAAAUGCGCCAAGAUCCCUAUCUCUAGUACCACUUACAGACAAAUACUGCUUCUGAACCCAAGCCAUGAGUGAAGCUGGUACAGGAGAAGCAGCACUGUUAGAGGAAGGAAUUCUGGCAAUAUCACCAUCAGGUAAGACCUGUGGUAUCCAUCUAGCUGGAGCUCCUAUCUGUCAGCUCUUACUUUCUUUUGUUUUUAACAUAUACCACAUUUUGUAAAGUUUUAUCAAAUUAAUCUUCCACCAAAAAAAGCGUUUAUCAUCAAGCUUGGCUGGGUUUUGUUCAUUUUUCAGAGGUUCUGAGAGGAGAGAGAGAGCAGCACAGAGUUGUGCAAUCCUUGAGCCAAAUUUAAAUAAUUCUGCCCUCCUUCUUGCUAAGGUGUCCCCUGAAUGACUGUGUCAGGUAUAAUGGUGUACUAGUUGUUUUUUUCCACCACAUGACUUCUUACAUCACACCUCACAUGUGGUUACAGAGGUCAGUGUUGGAAGAUUCUCUGGCUCCUGACAUGGAUUCAGUAUUCUGAGUUAGGACACUUGAUGCUACAGUACACAAACCAUCAUGUCUGAAACAGCCAUUUGCUGUAAAUAUGUGGUGUUACUGAGACAGAAUUAUAAUCCUUUCAGGCCCUCAGUGAGCACUCAGCCUUCUGGAAGCAAAAGCUGAAGUAAUAUUAGCAGAGGUCAUGCUUCAAGUACACUAAUUAUGUCUUGAGAAUGAAAAUGUGAAUGAGAAUGACCUGCCAUGAAAUUCCCAGCUACCUUACUAAUUAAUUAAGGUAGCAAAGUAUUUAAGUCUUUGUUGUUUAGAACUUGUUUGCUUAAUUAUUAAUUAGAAAAUUCAGGCUUUUUGUCUAAGAUACUCUCAGGUGACAAAGCAUGGUUCUGGCUGUCCUCAGCAGCAGUAAGGCCAGCAGGAACAGGUGAUUCAUGAGUAGAGCAGAAGGACUUCCAGGUUUCACUGAGGAAAUCUCAUAAGGCAACAUCCAGGUGGCCAAUAUGAAAAAUGGUCAUUUCUCUUCUGUCUCCACUUUGGAAUUGCACAACCCAUCCAUUGGGCAUGGCUUUGUUACUGUAUCAUCAAAUAAACAGCAAAAAAAUCCCAGAGAGACUGUAGGCUCCAGACAAACUCCUCUGGUGUGGCGUGGCAACAUGAAGUACUGUACUGAAGAGUAUGAGGAGUCCUGUAAGAAGUAGACAUUAUGCAAAAAUUGCUUGUGGCAGAAUUUGGACAGUAAAAUCAUCAAAUGAGGCAUUAAAGCUGCUUUUUCCUUUUUUUUGUUCUCAUUCAUGUAUUGCAUGAAUGACUACACUUUUUUUGGCACGUUUUUUACAAUAUUUUAAAAUAUUCCUGUUCCACCCACCUCACCUGAGAUUGUCCUGAGUAGGUGCUCAUGAGAAAGCAAUGGGUUGCAUUGAUGUUUUUCCUUGUGAUUUCACAACUGUUGAAAGCAGAGCUGACAACAUUUUAACCCUUACAUGUAGUGCUUUCUGCUGCAAUAGUCUGAAGGGUUCUUCUUACAGUCUCUGAUGUGACUCAACAGGCUGAAGAAUGGCUUUACCUUUCUGUGAAAUCUCUCACACUCUUAUUUUAAUGUUUUGUUCUCUCUGUUUUCUUUUAUUCCUGACUGCCCAGGUUUGAUCUGACUGUGAGGCUGAAGAGCCACAUGGUGGUUUGUGCUGGGACAGCACCAUGCCUUUGCACAUCUUUUCUACCGCUACGUGAGUGCAGGCUCCACAGGACCUUGCAAAAUGAGCCUCACUCUAAGAAGGUACCUCUCAGUUUAAAUUGGAUGAGUUGAUCUGUACCACACCAGCUGUUUUCCGUCAGCUUCCGAGAUGAUCAAACUAAUGAAUUGUAGCAUGAGGUUAUGUGGAAUCUCCCAGGCCACGCCAACUGUGUGCACUUUGCUGGGGACAAAGGCCUGCCAUUGCCUUUGCAGAUUGAAAUCUCCAGCAUUGGUGUCCUUGAAACGUUUUUCUAUUGGGCUGAUUCCAUACAAGUAGCUCCUGUAACCACAGACAUCCCUGUUGUGCUCAAAGAUGGGGAUUGUUUCUGUUGCUGCCCAAGCCAGGAAGCAGAACUUCACAGUUGCAGUUUGCCACAGUGGUGUGGCAAAAAGAGGGAGGACAAGAACCAUUCCCAGUCCUGACCCACAGCACCAAGAGAUUUGCUUCUGACCUGUUUUCACAUUACCCUCAAGAGAAUCUGCAGAGAUGUCCUUUACAACAUUAACAUGCAAGCUGCAGGUAGAGUGUGGAGAAAAUUCCAUCACCAUGGGGUGCUGACAGGAGAUACUCUUGUGCUGAUGGAAAUUACACACAAUUUCUGCAUCAGUACUAGGGUUAGGAAGGUUGGGGUUUUUUCUAUUAAAAAAAAAACCAAAAAUAGAUGCUUCCAAUUAUACAACCCUUUAUCCAAAAAAGGCCACGGGAGAAUCCAGAAUGUUUCCAAUCAAGUGGAGAAAGACUCUGGUCAGAAAAGACUUUCCUUCUCCUUCAUUGUGUUUCCCAACUCCCUCCUUCAAGUUAGCUGGAGCCUGGAGCAGCAUGGCUCAGAGCCAAGGAAUAAGGAUGGUACUGCUGAGGCUUUGUUUACUGUGUUCAAUGUGGAGGGAAAGGGUGAAGCAGUUAUUGCUCCAGACACUCCCAGUGCUACCUUGUUUUUCAUGUCAUUAUUUCAACAGGCAAAUCCCCAUAACAGCACUGACUCAACACUGUCUGUCCCCUCAGCAAUCUGGUGACAUCCUUUUCACUGCCAGUGGGUCAGUGCCAGCCAAGUGGAGGGAGGCUGGCUUGGUCCUCAGAGAGACUUCUAUUGCUGUAAUGAUCUGCUAGGGUUACUGACCUUGUACUUAUCAUCCUUUCAGAGAAUGCUUUUCAAAAGUAACAGCCUUAUUUUUUCAUCAGAAGGUAAUUACACAGUACAAAUUGGCCCUCAGGUUGCUCAGGGUAGAAAAAAAUCAAUGAAGGAAGUACUCUCCUAGAUACACACAGACUUUGGAAGGGAAAUAUUUUUGCUCCAGAAAAGGACAGAGGGAGGGAGCCAAACAGAAUAAAGUAGUGCUUAAAUAGCUCAUUAUUUCUUAGCUUUCCCUGACCCCCCAGUAAUCUGCAGCUGGCUGAAGGAGUCCCAGAACCAUGGCCCUAGACCACAACUCAGGUGCAGAAGACACUGGGAGAUGUAUUAUGGUGUCCUGCAAUGUGAUGUCAGUACUGGCACGUGGUUCACAGGCACAGAGUCGGUCUGCAGCAAUAAAUUCCCUGUCACAGGCCUGCUCCAGGGAGGAAAUGCUUCUUCUGAGUCACUGUCUGCAAUGGCACUGGGGACACUGACCCUCUGGGUUUCCAGGAGCAAUGGAACAUCUCCAGACACAGAGGUAAGCACAAGACUUGGGGUUAAGCUCAGGCUCCCUAUGUGGCCAUGGGUAUGUCACUGACCUGCUUUGCACCUCAGGUGCUCACCUGGGGAUUGGAUACAAGAACACCUCCUCUUCUAUCCCUUCCAUUUGUUGGCAAUCUCUUCAAGACCAGGCUUCCUUUUACUAGAUGUGUAUGUAGCCAUAGCCCUUUAUACAGGUGCUGCUUAAAUUAAAAUUCAGGACAUGUGUGUGCUCAGAGGGGUGAUAUUACCAUGUCUUGACACAACAGAAAUUGGUGUUACAAGUCAUUUUUCUUGUAGCACAUUUCAGUCUGACUGGGAUCUGUUCCCUAAAUGAGAAGCAAAGAAAUCUGUGGCACAGAGGAGUCUGUGUGACAGCCUUUCUGGACCAGAAGUCCCAGAAAGCACAUUAAAUUAAGCAUUUAGAGGUGAUCUUGUCAGGUAAAUGUCAUCUUCUUUGUUCAGUUGCUCCCUACCUGUGCCUAAUCAUCACAUGGAUGUCUAAUCAGCAGUGCUCCCAAACAUAACUGAGCAUGGCCCAGCUAAUCAAGGCAAAAUGGUAAGUGAUGCUUCUGCCCAGUCUGGGAACUGCAGAAUGCAGGGACUCUAAAUGGUGAGAUCAAAGACAAUGUUUUUGGAUUGGCCUGUGCCUGGUGUAAUGAACAAUACAGUAAUAUAAAAAUAUAUAUAUUAAUGUAUAUUACUAGAUUAGGCAUCUAUUUCUUCAGAAGCCUAUCCACAUACUGCUAUGAGUCUUCUGAUCUCAUGAAGAGAAAUGGACAACACAUUAAGUUGACAGAAUGAGUGGCACAUUAAAAAGAGUAAUGAGGUGUCAAAUUGUGUAUUUGUAUUUCCCAAUCAGCCUUUCCUGAUGGAUUAGACCAUAGGUGUGUUACUUUGGCUACAUGUGCAGCUGAGAAAAAGCACUUCCAGUUACAUGGCUGUAGUUGUGUUCUUGUAUGGAAGUGCCUGGAUUCUACAGAGCCUGAAAUUACUUCAGUAACUUCCAUGCAUGUAGGCAAGUGUAAGAGUUGUAAAUGGGAGAAAGGUUGGCUCUGCCUUGCACUGCAUUCCUUUGAUAAUAGCCUACCUGUCUUUAGGCAGGACCAGCAGGACAUAGAUGUGAACCGAUUUCCUAGUCUUAAUUAUAAAUGGCAAGUCACAAGGUUUAUUUGCAUAAACCUGAGAGAUGGUAGAAAAAGUCUGAAGGAGAAUGAGGAGAUAAGCUCUUUUCUGAGAAUAAGGUCUCAUGAAAGAAUUUUGCCAUACAGUGCUACAUUUACAAUCCAGGGGAUUUACCUGAUGAGGUCCCAUGUCAAUGCAACAAGAAGUAUUAAGUACUUCAAGAAAUGUGUUUAAAUACAGGCUGAAAAUGGAAGAUUUGCAGUGGACAGUGGAAAUUAAAUUGUACAUGCAGUUCCCCUUGAUUUCCCCUGAGCACUCUGUAGGCUAUUUAUGCCUCAGAGCAACACCAGCAGAGCAAUAUCCCUCCCUCUACAAGAUCACCUGCUUUGGUUUAUAAUUGGGUGUAAUUUAAUCAUGCGUUUCUAAAGUGCUUUGGGAGCCAAAUAUCCGAAAACACUUUACAAUUCAAUGGCAUUAGUGAGACAAUACAUUGAUACAUCCUUGUGGAGCAAAAGUCUGACACCUCAGCUACAGCCAAAGAAACAAAGAAAUUAAUUGCUUGCGUAGAGUUGCAUAGCAGAUUAAUGGGAGAAUGAGAUUUCCAAUUCCUUCUCCUCUUGCUUUUCAGUUUAUGUUUAUGUGUUGAGACAGGUAUGCUGGUCAGAUGCCAAGAGAAAUGUGGUGUAUUAUUCAUUCUUCCUACUCCCUGGGUUUUCCCUGAUGGGAAGUAAGGUCCAGGUCAUGAAAUGUCAUACCCAAGCUCUUUAGGAUUUGUACUUAUGCACAAGAAGACUCAGUGUGCUGAUGGUGCUGGCUCUGGUUGCAUGUUUGUGUGUGCAGUGGGAAGCAGCCUGCAGUCACUGUCCCCAGCAGCAUUUUGGCUUCAAGAUGGAGUAUCCUGGGAAGGACAGUGCUUCCUGCUUCAUGGCCCCACUGAGGAGCCACAGCAUGUGGCAACAGCUGUGCCCUGAGCUGGGCACCAUCAGUGACCCCAGUACAGGGGCACCCUUAGCAGCGCCUCCAAGCCUAGAAUGUGGCUCAGCUCAACAAGAAGCACCUGCCCAUUGAUGAGCCCUACAACCUGAAGCUGCAAGCUGAUCAUCUGUGGUGGGUCAGGUGUGCAGCCACUGGGACUUGUUGGGGGUGAUUCCCUGCAGGCUGAGGAACCGUGAGAUUUCAUGUCUGAAUGCAGUUCACACCCUGCUGUUUUCCAGGACAAACACACUUGCUGGGACUGGCACUGUGGAUCUCACUCCUCUGGGCUCUCUCUCUUGUCCAGAGGAAGGAGUUUCUCAGGCUGUAGGUGCUGGAGCUGCAAGGGCUACAUUGUAGGAACUUGCCUUCAUAUCCAAAAAAUACAGACUAGCUGUGUCUUCCUUUGAAGUCCCUGUGAUUUAUCUUCUGUUGUUUUAAGGCAGUCUUGUAUCCCUUAAAACGGCUUAUUUUGGCCAGCAGUCCUCAUGAAUUCCCUAAAAUGGCUCAGAAGCAAACAUGGCCAGUUCUCAGUCUCUAACCAGGCUUGCUCUGCAUCCAUGGCAUACUUAGCACUUCCCAGCUGUCCAUGGAUGCACUCUGACAAUAGCCUUGUGCUUUUUUUGCACAGACAUUGCACUGGGUACUUCUGUUCUCUUCCUUUGUAAAAUGGAAGGAUUUUGCCAACAUUGUAUGACAGCUAGUAAGGUUUCCAAGACAAAAAGAGGAAGCAAAUCAAAUAUUACAUAUCCCACUCUCCCUUGCCUCUUGUUGAAACCAGUGAAUCUCUAAAUCAGGUUGUGACACAGAGCUUAGUUCCGGCUGGCUCAAGUUGGUGGUGUGAGCAUGGACUCUUCCAGGUUCAUAGGGUGAGGUUUUGCAAACAUGUUUUAGAGACAGGCCCUGGUGCCUCAGGCCUGUUAGUGUCCUCUUAAAGGGGACAAGAGAGGCUGCCAGGCACAGCUUGAAAUGAAACUGAUACAGCACCAAUAAUGAGGAACUAUAUUUGGAAAGAUCUUUCAGGGCUAUUUUUGUCUGAGAUCAUUACUUCUGGACAGUCUGCUGACAACUGCUGGGCACACAAACACACCCCACCCAGGGUUUGGUUCUCUCUGCUAAUGUGGAAGUAGCUCACAGGGGGUCAGCGGAGGGAAAGGAUGCUCACACUGUGUUUCCUGCUCUGAUUUUCAAACUGAUCUGUGCUUGUGUGUACAAUACACACAACACCUCUUCACCAAGCCAGCAACUGCCCACUCAAAAGACUGGAAGCAAUUCUCUACCAUUUUUCUAAAAAUUCCUGUUGUUACCAUGUGUCCUACUUCCCAUGCACCCUGGUAUACUCCUCCCUGCAGCCACAGCUGGGGCACACCUUUCCUGUCCCUAAAAUCAGUGGGAGCUUUCUCUGUUCCCAGCCAGGCUGAUGCAAGGAAUCCUGGCAGUGCUUCACCCUGCUCAGGGAAGGCAGGAAGGCCUGGGGGGCACGAGAACAGCUCCCUAUCCCCUCAGAGAUCUGCUUGCUGGGUGGCACUUAUCUUCUGCCCUCCCACACUGGCUUGUUGAGCUGAGCACGGGUACAAAAGGAACACACCUCUUCAAAGUUAUUCAAAGCAGCAGAGCUGGCUGGGGAGUGAGGCUUGCAAAAGCGCUGUAUGGGUGAGGUGCUGAUUUAUACCCAGGUUCCUCAAUGGGAGCCUAUGUCUGAGAGCUCCUGGGGCUCCUCCUUGUCUUGACCUGGGAAGUUUCUGGGUAGGGUCUCUCUGCUGCCAGAUAUUUGCAGCUGAGGUGGAAAUCAAGAGUCAGAAUAAGAAACUGUAGAACUGACUUUAGCAGAUGAGGCAUUCCUGUCAAAUCCAGCUUAACUGCAGAUUUGUUUUUAUUCUUUUAGGAACUACAUUCUUGAUAAUUUUAGUUCUGGAAGAAAGGUAGUUACUGCCUGGAGUUGGGCACUGUAGGCUGGAAGGCAUCAUGCCUCAUGUGGAAACAAGCACUCUUCAUUAGGAAAUGAGCCCAUUCAGACCAGGACUUACAAGAUUCUCUUUAGGGACAUUUUUCAGAGACUUUCAGUGGUCUGUACCUGCUGACAGGCUGUCCUAUGGGAAAGGAGUAAGGACUGACCUAAGGGCAGAGCAAAUCUGCUGAUUUGAGUGUGAAGAGUAGCUGAUUUCGGUGUUGAUUCCACAGAGACUAAGCCUCUAUCUCAGCACCUCUUAAUAUAUUGUGGUGUGUUUGCCUCAGCUGGACACCUGGUGCAGACCAAAGCCAUUUUAUCACUACCCUCCCACAGCUGGACAGGAGAGAGAAAAUUUAACAAAAGGCUUAUGAAGCAAGCUAAGGACAGGGAGAUCACUUACCAAUUACUGUCACAUGCAAAACACACUCAGCUUGGGGAAUUUAUUACCAAUCAAAUCAGAAUAGGGUAAGGAAAGUAAACUGCUAAAUUUUAAAACAUCUUUCCCCUACUCCUCCCUUCUUCCUGGGCUUAACUUUAUUUCAGAAUUCUUUACUUCCUUUAUCCACUGGUGCAGGUGGAUGGGGAAUGGGGUCUGUGGUCUGUUCAUCAUGCCUUAUCUUUGCCCCUCUCUCCUCUGCUCUCACAUAUUCUCGCUCCCCUCUUUAGCUGCAGUUGCUGUUGCAGUUUUCUUCCCCUUCUCAAAAGUGUUGGCACAGAGGCACUUGGACCCAUUGCUUCUGCUGGACAGAAGGGAAGAUUCCAGCAGCCUCUCACAGAAGCCACCCCUGCAGUCCCCUCCUGCCACCAAAGCCUUGCCACACAAACCCAGUACUUAUGUACUCUUCUAUUUCUCUUCUUUAAUUGCACUCUUCUGCUUAGCCAUGUUUUUCAGUUUUAGCCGUUUCAUAAUAUUUACAAAAACAAAUAGGGCAUUGCACCACCUCAAUGAAACACAGCAGCAGCUCUGCUGCUCUUGGAGCUCAGAAGGGGUAAAUAUAAUGAAUUUUCCUCAGGCUGGGAGGGGGCAGGUUGCAAAGAGCACAAAGACUGUUAAACCCAAAGUAAAUUAUUCAGAAUGGUGCUGAAGUGAACAAGGGGAAUGGGAGUGAAAAUGAGAACUCCCUAAAUCUGAACUGUCACUUCCUACAAAAACUGCGACCAGAGUUUUUCCUCUAUACAGUGGAAAGCCUUAUAGAGCUUUAAAACCUUUAAAAAUUUUAUGAAGCUUUUUAUCCAUAACUUUUUGAGACUUGCACUCAAAACAUAGGGUUGACUGCACUAAUUGUGGCACUUAGUCCUUUUCUUUUCUUUAAAAAAAGAUGGACACAGGGACAGGAAAUUUGCAGAAGUUGAAACAUAAGAUAUAAUUAGUGGAACUAGCUGUGCCUGGUCUGGCAUGCAGAACAGCAUUGUUGUGGCUGUGUAGUUUGUCUUCAUGUGGCUCAAAAUGCAGCUGCCCUUGGCUUCUCUGAGGGUCAGUUAGACCAGGUGGUAGAGUGGGAAUUCUGCUCAGCAGGGGCACGUCCAGUGUUUUCAUCUUCCUUCCCUCUAAGUGAUUUUGUACUGUAGGAUGUCAAAGGUGAUAUUUCUAAUACCCUCUGCUAUUGUAUCUUAAUGGUAAUAAAAGGAGCCAAAGAUUGGAGAGAAUCCUGCUUCCAAGUUCAAGAAGAGACUUGGAUUCUGCCUCCUUUUCUCCAGAUAGCCCAGCAGGAGCUCCAUGGUAUUUUAGGCUUCUUUAUGUGAGAUUGCAUGUAAACACAGAGUAAGCAAUAAAUCUGAAGCACUUCAAUCCUUGCAAUACCAAGUAAAUAGAGCUUUGCACAUGAGGAGUCACUUUGUAAAAGAGCUGGCCACAGAAAGUGCAGAAACUUUACUACUGUGGCCAUGCCUAAAUAAGGGAUUACAGAAAAUCUGAACCACUGAACAGGCUGACAGAUAGAUCAAUAAAAAUAUACAUUGGUGCUGGUUCUUUUAAUGUAGACUAAAAUCUUCCAGGAGCCAGUUCUGGAAUAAAAAUACAGCAGUGGUGAGUGACCCAGACACACUCAGUCUGAGAAUAUUGUAUCACUUUUGUUCCAUCUGGAGCUAGGAAGGAGGUAUGAGGAAACAGGAUGCUCCUCCCAGCAGGCCUCUAAGAUUUUAAAAGGAAUUGUAAAAGACAAAAUAAAAGGAAGAGGAGAGAAUCACUCCCUUUUGCCUCCUGUUAACCCCUUUAGGCUGCCCUGAAGAUAAUUUGGUUGUAUUUCUGUCUGGUACUGAUUAGUUCUCACAUCAGGAAGGGGAGUAUGAAGGAGUCUCCAUUAAACCUGCAAGCAGAUCCAUUUAACUGACUGGGAGCACUCACACCCACUGGGUUUCUAUGCUAUAAAUCCUUGGAACCUGUUCCACUGGUGACAGAUGGCCUGGUUCAGGAUUAAUGAAACAAAAUAUCUGUGCCACUGCAUCAAACAGCUGAAGAAGCUGGCAUGAGAUCCCCAGCCAGAGAAAAGUGUGCAGACUCCUCCACUCCUUUCCUCCUGGAAAUGUUUCCUGGGGUGAGAGGAGAGAGAGGUUUGGCCAUAAGUCUGGGAAUUGCUGGCAGUGAGCAGUCUUCCUGGAGCAGCGCUGUGCUGCAAGCUCCCUUCUCCCUGGAAGUGUGGACAAAUGGCUACUGUCUGUGGGACUGGCUGGAGCAGCAAGGGACGAGCUUGCUCCUGAGACUGGCAUCCCAGGGCAGCCAGGAUGUGGUGUGACACCAGCCCAGUGCCUGGCUGGUUUGGGUUGGAUUUGCUCUGUAGGGUGCACGUGGGUGUUUCGAGGGUUCCCCAGGUAGGAAUGCUGUGGCUGACUGUGGCAGUCAGCUUUAGUGGGGUGCUGAGCAGCUCCAGCACA